Long non-coding RNA from Ictidomys tridecemlineatus (thirteen-lined ground squirrel), 1754 nucleotides. RefSeq lists it as uncharacterized. Lineage: Eukaryota; Metazoa; Chordata; Mammalia; Rodentia; Sciuridae. The record is from RefSeq and is a predicted model, not a curated record.
UGCAGGAGACGCACUGCAGGGGGCGCUGCAGACACACUAAGACCUAGGAGAGGAAGGCAAUUCCCGGCCAGGUCCCAGAGACACGCAAAGGACUCUCUGUCUCGCGUCUGACGGGGAAAGAAGAGCGGAGAGGACACAUCCCUCCUAAUGAAAGGGGCGGGGGGGGCAGGCGGCGGUACUUUUAGCACCUGCGCAGUGGGCGCAGAGCUGGAGAUCAGUGUUGAACUUGGGCUUGGCCCCGCGGGACCCGCGCGAGUCAGAACUCGGCGGAGCCAGGGGGACACAGGCGUUCUCGGGAAGCCAAGCCAGGGCUCCAGGACCCGCGGGGGUUGGCGCGGCCCUGGAUCCCGCGAGAAGACUCAGGCGGUAAUCCGCCGAGCCCCGCAGGCAGCUGGCAUCGGAGCAGCAGGCCUUUAGCCGGUGUCCGCGUGGCCCAGCGCCCGGAGGGGUCGGGUCCACUCCGACUUUCUACGGCCCAGCUCACGCUCGCCUCCGAAAAACCUUUGCGGCCUAACCUGAGUCCGGCUCUGGAGAGGGCCCAGCCUGGCUCUGGUUCCGGAGCUGGCGGCGCUGGAUUUGGGUCGGCCUUGCCUCGGGUCCUCCCCCGCUUCCCCCCACACCUGCACUUUCCAAACUGGGAGGGAACGCGGAGGCCUCUGGCAGCUGAACGCCCACCUGCCGGGUUUCGGGAGGAUCGAGGUCAGGGCGCCCCACGCUCCCACCACCUUACAUCACGACCAGGAGAGCCGGGGCUGGGGGCGCGUGGGUGCAAGAGAGCAGGGCUAGGGCUGGUGGGCUUCCCUAAAGGACCACAGUAAGUCUAAGACGCGGGGGUCGCUGCCCACCCACUUGGCAGAUAGGGAGACUGAGGCUCCCGGCGAAAGCGAGGGCGUCCGAGGGCGUGCGUCUCCCGAGGCGGCGCCUGCCUUUGCCACCGGAAGCUCCCGGGCCGAGGGCGCUGGGGAAGCUGCUCCUACGCCCGGAUGCGUCACUCCGCCCACUUACUUAUCCACGCAGGUGACACCCUUUAACCACGUCCCCGCGCCACCCGCCCCAGGAUGCUGGCGGGACUUCAGGAGAGGGCAAAAAAGGACAGGCCCAAGGCCAUGUCCCUAACGCCCACCAGCCCCAACCUCCUCUCCAGGUAGCAGAUACCCCUCCACUCCCAGGACUGUCGCUACCAGUUCCCAGUGUCCGCCGCAGAACGCUGCUCCCAGUAAAGACUCAGAGACCCGUCGCGACAAGAUGCGGGCGCAGUUUUGGAAAUGCUGGUGGCGAAGGGAACACACUGGUCCUUUCUCUCUGAGGGCUUCCAAACAGUGAGGAAGAAUGUGGCACUUCUAUUUAUGCCAGCCGUCGACAAGUAUCCAGAGAACCUAAGUUAAGGGAUACGGAGGCUCCUUUGGAGACAUCCUCUGUCAAAUGAGGGAAACUAGGCUUUUCCUGUUCGUCGUUUCCAUCUUUUUCGUAUUGUGCCAUGGGAGCAUAUAUUUCUAUUGAAACUAAUUUUUCAAAGAAAAAAAAUAUUCCAAGAUAACAAAUCAGGUGAUGGAAGUCAACAAUACAUAAAACAUGAUACAAUGUAUGGUUAAAGAUGUAGCAAAAGUUUAUUUCUGUGAUCUUAAACCAAAAGACACCCAAAUGGUUAUGAAGUUAUCUGCUAGAGGGAUGCCACACUGGGGGCAGGCCAUCAUCAAUGGGAUUCUGUCACUGUGGUUUUUAUUUUUACAAUAAAAGAGGGGAUAUAUUUUAUA